Molecule: long non-coding RNA, 1050 nt
Organism: Ornithorhynchus anatinus (platypus)
Lineage: Eukaryota; Metazoa; Chordata; Mammalia; Monotremata; Ornithorhynchidae
Exons: 7
Source: RefSeq, a predicted model, not a curated record
CAGAGAGUCAGCGUGUCUGAAUGAUGGGCCCAGUCUCCGUGGAUAAGCACCUCCUCGCCCUGCCUCCACUGCUUGCCCAGCCGCUCCAGAGACGGACGGAAAGAGCGGAUCUCACUGGCACUCGCCUGCAGAAAUCGUAUUUGCCUGUGUGAACUGCAUUUCUAAAGACUCAACUGAUGCAUUCAGAGAUGGUGCUGGCUAUAUUUGCCAAAGCUUUGCCGAUGUGGAUGACCAAACGAGACAGCCCUUUGAGAGGGAUGGAUGUAGCCAAUGUUGCUGGGGCCUUUUCGCAUAUUAUGCUGUGCAGAAGAGGCCAAGUUUUUGCCCAUGUGCAAACGUUUCCAGCAGAUUGAAGUUGAGUCUCUGGUAGCUUUUCACAACACCCCAAAAUAUAAAGGGUGGCUUGAAGAGUGUGGGCAGAUCAAUACUUCACAGCUGUAAACUGCCAGAUGAAAUCUUUCCUGCUACCAGAGGAAAAACUGUCUUUUGGCCAGCUGUCUCAGCGUCAGAAGCCUCUUCCUGGAAGCUAAUUCUUCACGAGAACAGUGAAGCCAUUUCAUAACCAGACAGUGGUGGAACUGGAAUCGCCACAGGAGGCUCCAGUGGAUGUGAAUUUUGCAGUGAAUCAUGUACAUCAUCUGAUCCUGUUGCAGGAGACGCAUGGCCUUGGGACCGUGUGACGACGAGUACGGGCAUCUACACGUGGACGAGUCCAGACUACGGGAAGCAGAGUGAAACCGUUUUAACGGGAAAUGAAGCUAUCACCUCCCAACUUUCGGCGUAUUAAAAAGGAGAACCUACGUGGAAGAAAAGGAAGAAGUGGGCCUGGGAGAUAUACGAGAGGAGAGGGAGGAAGGCCCGGGGACUCUGGGCCCAGGCCGGGACAGUCAGUCAUGCACCGAGCAGACCUCACCUGGAAAAGGGGCCGCCGCACUGAUCCAUCAAGGCAGUUGGCUUCGUGGCAGAGCCAGAGCUUGGGAAUCAGAGGACCUGCGAUCUAAUCCCGACUCCACCACUUGUCUGACCCUGGGCCAGUCACUUGUCUGGCCC